Gavialis gangeticus (Gharial) is the source of this 277-nucleotide long non-coding RNA. RefSeq lists it as uncharacterized. The transcript has 3 exons. Lineage: Eukaryota; Metazoa; Chordata; Crocodylia; Gavialidae. The record is from RefSeq and is a predicted model, not a curated record.
AACAGAGGUGGAUGAGUAGCAUGGUAAUGAAGAGAUGGACCGUCUUUAUUAGCACGCUCAGUGAAAAGGCAAUUGAACAAAAGAAAAACAUGCUUUCCAGUGCUUUCCACUUCCAUUGUGAUGCAGAGUAAAAUAUUCUACCAUCACUACACUGAGCAGUAGGGAAUCCUGGACUUGAAAGAGGAUGUUUUCCUGACUUGUAAGAUCCAACACAAUAUUGAUAUAGAGUCAGUAUAGUCACAUAUUGUACUUCUGUUUAUAAAUAAAAGUUGACUGU